AGCGGUAACUUGCACCUUGAGGGCCGGUCAACACCGAGCUAGUCUGGUCAAUGCCCAAGGAGUGGUCAAAACUUGCAGAAAUUGAUCAAAACACCAACGUAUGGGCCGAUCAACAUUCGGUCAACGCCAGUCAAGGCUGGUCAACGCCCAACUCAAAAAAGUCAACGCUGGCAAACCAAAAAAAAUAAUAAUAAUAAUUAUGUGUCAAAUUGCUCUGGACACCCAGAGAUUUGCUCUGGACACCCUUUGGCAUUCUUCAGUCAUCAGCGCCCCGCUGAACUGUAUACCGCUACCUCCUGCGGCGAUCACAGCUCGCUGCCACCUUCACGACACUCCGCCGGCACCGAGCCUCCGCUAAACACCACUAGCGGAACCGACAGCAACAGCUCUCAAGACCCACUAGCGCUCAGCGACCAACCGAGCAUCUUCCGCCGGCGAGCCCUUUCGCCAGCUCUUCAGCGCGACUGUGCCGCUGCCCAUCAUCACCGCCGGCUAUCCUCUUUUGGAGCUUGGGAGUACCUCCGACAGCGGCAGCACCGACAUCUUCCGCCCAACAUCAUCAGCGGCAAAACAGCACCGCUAGCUCCAGAGGCUCACGGCCUUGACGGAGCAUCAGUAAACUCCGCUGGUGUCCCAGGCCUCCGCCGGAAAGUUCCGCUGAACAAUUCCUCCGCCGAGCUAUGUCGGCGGCAGCGCGGUAAAUUCCUCCGUCAAUACUAAGCACCAGGCACUCUCCGCCCAAGAAGGGUUCCGCUGACCUCAUGACCUCCGCUAGCAGGACUACACUCGCAAGUCGACUUCCGCUAGUCAUCACUUCCGCCAACCAAGACCACAGCUGACAAAACCCAGCUCCGCUGAACUCCACCACGAGUUGGGCCAUCCAAACCCCGCUAGCCAACACCAGCGUCAAUACCUCCGCUAGACACCUCAAGCAAGCUUCUCCGCUGCACUCCAGCUCCGCUGAACUCGUAGCCUCUGCCGAGCUCCAAGCCCGCCCAUCAGCGUCGAACUCCUCCGCCAGACUGCACCACCGAGCAGCCUCCGCUGAACUUCACCACCGGAGAGGCUCCGCCGAACUGUACACCGCUGACCUGAGCUUCUACUAACCCGCGCUUCUGCCACUAGCCAACCUCAGCGGCCCCACCGGCGGAACCGCUAGCCUCAAACCAGAGGAACCGGCCUCCUCCCCCAGCUGUCAGGCUAUCCUUCUCCGCUGACCGCUAGCCAUCCUCUGCCGGAAAACCACCCGCUGGCCACAACUCACCCAAGACUAACGCUCCACUUGCUCAUUACCGCCAAGCACCAUCCGCUAACAAUCUUGACGCACCGCCGGUGUAGUCAUCUCAGAAAACCGCCAGAAGUUCUUGGCCACACACCAACAUCUUCUCUUCACACCCAGAAAUUCUACCGGCACACCCAAAACUCUUGGACACUGAGCUUGACUGUGCAGCGUUCACCAUGUCUUCUCUCUGCGCACGAGCACAAUGCCCGCCGUCACCGGCAUCGUUCAUCUCUGGCCUUUCACGAAAACUUCAACAGAAGCCAUCAAUUGCCAGUAAUCAGCCAUGCAUCGGCGUCAUCCGUGAUGACUGGGUUGGGCUCAUC
RNAcentral lists this long non-coding RNA (1605 nucleotides) under Rosa chinensis. RNAcentral's name for it is "sRNA RchiOBHm_Chr5g0058041". Lineage: Eukaryota; Viridiplantae; Streptophyta; Magnoliopsida; Rosales; Rosaceae. The record is from RNAcentral.